AAAAACUUGUGCGGAACCUUACGCCUUGCAAAGCGCCUUUUCCAUGCUCCUUUUUUCUUCUAUAUGACAAAAGUGCCUUCACUAACAGCUUUUGAACAGAGACUUAUUUACAGUGAGAUGGAGGCCUUGGUGUUGGUGAGGGACAGACGGAGAGUGAGGAGGCGUGAGCAGCCUGCCUCCCAUGGCUCGAAAACAGGGAACCCCAGCAGGAAGGGGAGCAGCAAAAGCUGGUGGGGGAACCGGCGUUCCUGUUCUUCCUCAGCGGAGACCUGGUGAGCAUGUAGCAGGUGGGAUGGAACCCAGAGUCCACGCAGGACCCUGGAGGUGCAAGGGAGAUGCUUGAGUUGAACCCAGAACAUUCUCGGGUUGAUCACAGUGUCCUUGGGGUGCUCUGGGGAAAGGUCUGUGCCCCUCUGCCCCUGACGCUGUCCGCAGCUGCAGAGGGGAAAUGUCCCUGGGGUCACAGCUCGCUGGAGCGGACAGCAGGUUCCAGCUUGUGGGACAGGGCAGUGAGGACCUUGUCGAACUUCUCAUAGCGCCGGGCCUGGCUGCUGCUGGCACCCUGACUGCCCCAGAGGAGGCGCAUCUGGAACUCCGUGCUGAACACCUCCAGGAGCUCCGGCCGGGCCUGGAACCCUGCAGUGUUGGGGCAUAGGGUCAGGGCAGAGGCUGGGGUUCCUGUCCAGAGCCCUAGCAUUCUUCAGGACCCCCCUGUUAGGGACCUCCCCUCAACUCCGCCAGGGAUCCAACAAGGUUUGUGAAUCAACACGACCCUGUAGUUUAGCAUCUUUGUCCUGUUAUUUGCAGCAUAUAAUUUAAAAAUGACUAGACCAUAAAAUAUUAAUGUUAAAUAUGUUUGC
This 860-nucleotide long non-coding RNA is filed under the name Pan troglodytes (chimpanzee). Its description in RNAcentral is "long non-coding RNA NONPTRT017616". The record is from RNAcentral. Lineage: Eukaryota; Metazoa; Chordata; Mammalia; Primates; Hominidae.